AAAACAUGGCUCUUUGAGAUUUAUAUAUAAAGAGUCGGGCCUGCCCAGUGAUGUAUUUUUAACGGCCGCGGUACUCUGACCGUGCGAAGGUAGCAUAAUCAUUUGCCCUAUAAUUGAGGGCUAGUAUGAAUGGUUUGACAUGAGCAUAACUGUCUCCUUAAAAUUUUAUAAAAUUUGGUUUUUAGGUGAAGAAACCUAAAUUAAAUUGAAAGACAAGAAGACCCUAUCGAGCUUUAGAAUAAUUAGUUAAAAAAUAUAAAUAAAACAAUUAAUUUUAAUUAAAAACUUUGGUUGGGGCGACUGAGGAACAUAUAAAGCUUCCUUAAUUAAACAAUGCUGAUAAGCAAUGAUCCAGGAAAUCUGAUUAAAAAAAUUAGUUACCGUAGGGAUAACAGCAUAAUCUUUUUUGAGAGCUCUUAUCGAAAAAAAGGUUUGUGACCUCGAUGUUGGACUAGGAUAUCCUAAAGAUGUAGAAGUCUUUAAUGGUUGCUCUGUUCGAGCAUAAAAAUCCUACGUGAUC
This 520-nucleotide ribosomal RNA is filed under the name Oncomelania hupensis hupensis. RNAcentral's name for it is "partial large subunit ribosomal RNA". It matches the Rfam family "Bacterial large subunit ribosomal RNA", at positions 1810 to 2605 of the family's 2925-position model. Lineage: Eukaryota; Metazoa; Mollusca; Gastropoda; Littorinimorpha; Pomatiopsidae. The record is from RNAcentral.